GCCCGGGGGGCUCAGUAGGUUGAGCGUCCGACUUCCACUCAGGUCAUGAUCUCGCAGGUUCGUGGGUUCGAGCCCCGCGUCGGGCU
This 86-nucleotide transfer RNA is filed under the name Felis catus (domestic cat). It matches the Rfam family "tRNA". Rfam says of the family: Transfer RNA (tRNA) molecules are approximately 80 nucleotides in length. Their secondary structure includes four short double-helical elements and three loops (D, anti-codon, and T loops). Further hydrogen bonds mediate the characteristic L-shaped molecular structure. tRNAs have two regions of fundamental functional importance: the anti-codon, which is responsible for specific mRNA codon recognition, and the 3' end, to which the tRNAs corresponding amino acid is attached (by aminoacyl-tRNA synthetases). tRNAs cope with the degeneracy of the genetic code in two manners: having more than one tRNA (with a specific anti-codon) for a particular amino acid; and 'wobble' base-pairing, i.e. permitting non-standard base-pairing at the 3rd anti-codon position. The record is from Rfam by way of RNAcentral. Lineage: Eukaryota; Metazoa; Chordata; Mammalia; Carnivora; Felidae.